GACGAACGCUGGCGGCGUGCUUAACACAUGCAAGUCGAACGGAAAGGCCCUGCUUUUGCGGGGUGCUCGAGUGGCGAACGGGUGAGUAACACGUGAGUAACCUGCCCUUGACUUUGGGAUAACUUCAGGAAACUGGGGCUAAUACCGGAUAGGAGCUCCUGCUGCAUGGUGGGGGUUGGAAAGUUUCGGCGGUUGGGGAUGGACUCGCGGCUUAUCAGCUUGUUGGUGGGGUAGUGGCUUACCAAGGCUUUGACGGGUAGCCGGCCUGAGAGGGUGACCGGCCACAAUGGGACUGAGGUACGGCCCAGACUCCUACGGGAGGCAGCAGGGGGGAAUAUUGCACAAUGGGCCGAAGCCUGAUGCAGCAACGCCGCGGGCGGGAUGACGGCCUUCGGGGUGUAAACCGCUUUCGCCUGUGACGAAGCGUGAGUGACGGUAAUGGGUAAAGAAGCACCGGCUAACUACGUG
Molecule: ribosomal RNA, 468 nt
Filed under: uncultured bacterium
Lineage: Bacteria
Description: partial 16S ribosomal RNA
Rfam family: Bacterial small subunit ribosomal RNA
Source: RNAcentral